UUCAUUCCAUCGUUAACUGUUCAUAAUGUAACCAUUAAUUGCAGUUAAUUCUUCAUUCAGGCUUAUAGGUGGGAAGUGGUUUAAGAAGUUAAUAUUGACAGUCCAAAUAAACAGACAUAGUUUCAUAGUUUUAUUAUUUUUUUUGAAACAGCAAAGGAAAAGAAAACAAAAGAUGCCACUACCAGUCCUAGAUGACAGAAGUUAUGGCCCUGCAAUUCAGCAACACAACCAAAUUUCAGAGACAUAGCUAACCCACCCCACUAAAUCAACCAACAGAUAGAACAGCCUAGAUGAGGCGCUGCUAACAGCAGCUAAAACAGCCCCACAACAGCAAAAAUCCUUCUAGCAGCGCAGAACCAAAACAUGUAUCCUCCAACUUCUGAAGUGCCUUCCAG
This 395-nucleotide long non-coding RNA is filed under the name Medicago truncatula (barrel medic). RNAcentral describes it as "long non-coding RNA (MTRU_LNC008458)". The record is from RNAcentral. Lineage: Eukaryota; Viridiplantae; Streptophyta; Magnoliopsida; Fabales; Fabaceae.